GGGAUGUUCGGCAUGGCCGAGCACUCCGCUCACUGUCCAGAUGUCUCCUCCAUCUCCUGUGGGUGGCCAGA
RNAcentral lists this long non-coding RNA (71 nucleotides) under Pongo abelii (Sumatran orangutan). RNAcentral's name for it is "lincRNA". Lineage: Eukaryota; Metazoa; Chordata; Mammalia; Primates; Hominidae. The record is from RNAcentral.